AUCUGAAGGAAUACCGGUGGCGAAGGCGGCCCCCUGGACAAAGACUGACGCUCAGAUGCGAAAGCGUGGGGAGCAAACAGGAUUAGAUACCCUGGUAGUCCACGCCGUAAACGGUGUCUACUUGGAGGUUGGGACCUUGAGUUCUGGCUUUCGGAGCUAACGCGUUAAGUAGACCGCCUGGGGAGUACGGUCGCAAGAUUAAAACUCAAAUGAAUUGACGGGGGCCCGCACAAGCGGUGGAGCAUGUGGUUUAAUUCGAUGCAACGCGAAGAACCUUACCUACUCUUGACAUCCACGGAAUCCUUUAGAGAUAGAGGAGUGCCUUCGGGAACCGUGAGACAGGUGCUGCAUGGCUGUCGUCAGCUCGUGUUGUGAAAUGUUGGGUUAAGUCCCGCAACGAGCGCAACCCUUAUCCUUGUUUGCCAGCACUUCGGGUGGGAACUCCAGGGAGACUGCCGGUGAUAAACCGGAGGAAGGUGGGGACGACGUCAAGUCAUCAUGGCCCUUACGAGUAGGGCUACACACGUGCUACAAUGGCAUAUACAGAGGGCGGCCAGCCAGCGAUGGUGAGCGAAUCCCAGAAAGUAUGUCGUAGUCCGGAUUGGAGUCUGCAACUCGACUCCAUGAAGUCGGAAUCGCUAGUAAUCGUGGAUCAGAAUGCCACGGUGAAUACGUUCCCGGGCCUUGUACACACCGCCCA
This 700-nucleotide ribosomal RNA is filed under the name uncultured bacterium. Its description in RNAcentral is "bacterial SSU rRNA". It matches the Rfam family "Bacterial small subunit ribosomal RNA", at positions 696 to 1396 of the family's 1533-position model. The record is from RNAcentral.